This 29-nucleotide small RNA is filed under the name Bombyx mori (domestic silkworm). RNAcentral's name for it is "ovarian small RNA-21639". Lineage: Eukaryota; Metazoa; Arthropoda; Insecta; Lepidoptera; Bombycidae. The record is from RNAcentral.
UACUUCUAAUCUUAGGGCAAAACGAUGGU